UACGGAGGGUGCAAGCGUUGUUCGGAAUUACUGGGCGUAAAGGGCGCGUAGGCGGCCUCACCAGUCCGGUGUGAAAGCCCGGGGCUCAACCCCGGAAGGGCACUGGAUACUGUGAGGCUUGAGUUCGGGAGAGGAGGGCAGAAUUCCCGGUGUAGGGGUGAAAUCCGUAGAUAUCGGGAGGAAAACCAGUGGCGAAGGCGGCCCUCUGGAACAGAACUGACGCUGAGGCGCGAAAGCGUGGGGAGCAAACAGGAUUAGAGACCCUGGUAGUCCACGCUGUAAACGAUGGAUGCUUGGUGUGGGGGUCAAUCAGGAUCUCCGUGCCGCAGCUAACGCGGUAAGCAUCCCGCCUGGGGAGUACGGUCGCAAGACUAAA
This 376-nucleotide ribosomal RNA is filed under the name uncultured bacterium. RNAcentral describes it as "bacterial SSU rRNA". It matches the Rfam family "Bacterial small subunit ribosomal RNA", at positions 524 to 898 of the family's 1533-position model. The record is from RNAcentral.